This 429-nucleotide ribosomal RNA is filed under the name uncultured bacterium. RNAcentral's name for it is "bacterial SSU rRNA". It matches the Rfam family "Bacterial small subunit ribosomal RNA", at positions 355 to 776 of the family's 1533-position model. The record is from RNAcentral.
UAGGGAAUCUUCCACAAUGGGCGAAAGCCUGAUGGAGCAACGCCGCGUGGGUGAAGAAGGUCUUCGGAUCGUAAAACCCUGUUGUUAGAGAAGAAAGUGCGUGAGAGUAACUGUUCACGUUUCGACGGUAUCUAACCAGAAAGCCACGGCUAACUACGUGCCAGCAGCCGCGGUAAUACGUAGGUGGCAAGCGUUAUCCGGAUUUAUUGGGCGUAAAGGGAACGCAGGCGGUCUUUUAAGUCUGAUGUGAAAGCCUUCGGCUUAACCGGAGUAGUGCAUUGGAAACUGGGAGACUUGAGUGCAGAAGAGGAGAGUGGAACUCCAUGUGUAGCGGUGAAAUGCGUAGAUAUAUGGAAGAACACCAGUGGCGAAAGCGGCUCUCUGGCCUGUAACUGACGCUGAGGUUCGAAAGCGUGGGUAGCAAACAGG